CCUACGGGUGGCUGCAGUGGGGAAUAUUGGACAAUGGGGGGAACCCUGAUCCAGCAAUGCCGCGUGGAUGAAGAAGGUCUUCGGAUUGUAAAGUCCUUUCGGCGGGGACGAUGAUGACGGUACCCGCAGAAGAAGCCCCGGCUAACUUCGUGCCAGCAGCCGCGGUAAUACGAAGGGGGCUAGCGUUGCUCGGAAUUACUGGGCGUAAAGGGCGCGUAGGCGGACCUGUCAGUCAGGCGUGAAAGCCCCGGGCUCAACCUGGGAAUUGCGCUUGA
This 275-nucleotide ribosomal RNA is filed under the name uncultured bacterium. RNAcentral's name for it is "partial 16S ribosomal RNA". It matches the Rfam family "Bacterial small subunit ribosomal RNA", at positions 338 to 630 of the family's 1533-position model. The record is from RNAcentral.